RNAcentral lists this non-coding RNA (65 nucleotides) under Planctomycetota bacterium. The record is from RNAcentral. Lineage: Bacteria; Pseudomonadati; Planctomycetota.
CGCCGAAACGCCCUGGCGGGCGUCGUCCGCGGGUGGUUCCGCGGGCCUGAUGAUGGCAGCCGUUC